This 326-nucleotide long non-coding RNA is filed under the name Vigna radiata. RNAcentral describes it as "long non-coding RNA (VRAD_LNC017617)". Lineage: Eukaryota; Viridiplantae; Streptophyta; Magnoliopsida; Fabales; Fabaceae. The record is from RNAcentral.
CUUGGUCUUACCAUUUUAUAUUGCUUGAUACGAUUCGGUACACUUGCCGACUGUUUAACAAGUUUUUGACACCAUUUCUGGGGACUCAUGGUCAUCUUAUACUUUUGUGUGAUUCUUAACCAGUUUUGACUUUAUUUUUAUGUUUUUGAUUUUUUUUUAUUUUUAAUUUUAAUUUUUAUAUUUUUUCGGCUAAUUGGGUGCUCUAGUGUUUUGUUUUCUAGUGCAACAUUCACACUAGGAGCACAAAAUCAUUUGAACCUCUCUUUAUAGGUCUGAACAAUAGUAGAAGAAGAAGGAAGAACAUGACUUCCAGAGAACUUUUCCCU